RNAcentral lists this unclassified non-coding RNA (256 nucleotides) under plant metagenome. RNAcentral describes it as "partial contains small subunit ribosomal RNA, internal transcribed spacer 1, and 5.8S ribosomal RNA". The record is from RNAcentral.
UUUCCGUAGGUGAACCUGCGGUAGGAUCAUUACAGAGUUAGGGUCUUCUAGGCCCGACCUCCCAACCCUUUGUUUACCAAACCGUUUUGUUGCUUCGGCGAGCCCGUCUUCACGGACCACCGGAGGACCUCUCAAGGACCGCUGGCCCGCGCUCGUGGAUGUCCCAAACCUUUAAGUUCUUAACUAAGCGUAUCAUGACUGAGUACAAAUUUUUUAAUUAAAGGCAUAACUUUCAACAACGGAUCUCUUGGUUCUG